RNAcentral lists this ribosomal RNA (585 nucleotides) under Paretroplus polyactis. RNAcentral describes it as "partial 16S ribosomal RNA". It matches the Rfam family "Bacterial large subunit ribosomal RNA", at positions 1814 to 2607 of the family's 2925-position model. Lineage: Eukaryota; Metazoa; Chordata; Actinopteri; Cichliformes; Cichlidae. The record is from RNAcentral.
CAUCGCCUCUUGCAAAACAAAUAUAAGAGGUCCCGCCUGCCCUGUGACCAUGAGUUUAACGGCCGCGGUAUUUUGACCGUGCAAAGGUAGCGCAAUCACUUGUCUUUUAAAUGAAGACCUGUAUGAAUGGCAUGACGAGGGCUUAACUGUCUCUUCUUUCCAGUCAAUGAAACUGAUCUCCCCGUGCAGAAGCGGGGAUACCCUCAUAAGACGAGAAGACCCUAUGGAGCUUUAGACGGAGGACAGACCAUGUUAAACACCUCUAAACAAAGAACAAAACUAAUUGGUGCCUGCUCUAAUGUCUUUGGUUGGGGCGACCGCGGGGAAACAAAAAACCCCCAUGUGGACCGAAGAUACCCCUCUUCACAGUCAAGAACCACAGCUCUAAACAACAGAACUUCUGACCAACAAGAUCCGGCAAAGCCGAUCAACGGACCGAGUUACCCUAGGGAUAACAGCGCAAUCUCCUUCUAGAGCCCAUAUCGACAAGGAGGUUUACGACCUCGAUGUUGGAUCAGGACAUCCUAAUGGUGCAGCCGCUAUUAAGGGUUCGUUUCUUCAACGAUUAAAGUCCUACGUGAUCUG